GAGGGCGAUGUAAGAUCUGCUAACUCUUUAAUCCGGAAUUAAAAUCCGGCCCCCUCU
This 57-nucleotide transfer RNA is filed under the name Pseudoxenodon stejnegeri (Stejneger's bamboo snake). RNAcentral's name for it is "tRNA-Ser". The record is from RNAcentral. Lineage: Eukaryota; Metazoa; Chordata; Lepidosauria; Squamata; Pseudoxenodontidae.